GAACGCUGGCGGCGUGCUUAACACAUGCAAGUCGAGCGGAAAGGCCCUUCGGGGUACUCGAGCGGCGAACGGGUGAGUAACACGUGAGCAACCUGCCCUAGGCUUUGGGAUAACCCCGGGAAACCGGGGCUAAUACCGAAUAGGACCUGACACCGCAUGGUGUUGGGUGGAAAGUUUUUCGGCCUGGGAUGGGCUCGCGGCCUAUCAGCUUGUUGGUGGGGUGAUGGCCUACCAAGGCGACGACGGGUAGCCGGCCUGAGAGGGCGACCGGCCACACUGGGACUGAGACACGGCCCAGACUCCUACGGGAGGCAGCAGUGGGGAAUAUUGCACAAUGGGCGGAAGCCUGAUGCAGCGACGCCGCGUGAGGGAUGACGGCCUUCGGGUUGUAAACCUCUUUCAGCAGGGACGAAGCGUAAGUGACGGUACCUGCAGAAGAAGCGCCGGCCAACUACGUGCCAGCAGCCGCGGUAAGACGUAGGGCGCGAGCGUUGUCCGGAUUUAUUGGGCGUAAAGAGCUCGUAGGCGGC
RNAcentral lists this ribosomal RNA (530 nucleotides) under Micromonospora narathiwatensis. RNAcentral describes it as "bacterial SSU rRNA". It matches the Rfam family "Bacterial small subunit ribosomal RNA", at positions 31 to 579 of the family's 1533-position model. The record is from RNAcentral. Lineage: Bacteria; Bacillati; Actinomycetota; Actinomycetes; Micromonosporales; Micromonosporaceae.